Molecule: ribosomal RNA, 803 nt
Filed under: Streptomyces somaliensis
Lineage: Bacteria; Bacillati; Actinomycetota; Actinomycetes; Kitasatosporales; Streptomycetaceae
Description: bacterial SSU rRNA
Rfam family: Bacterial small subunit ribosomal RNA
Source: RNAcentral
CUACCAUGCAAGUCGAACGAUGAACCGCUUUCGGGCGGGGAUUAGUGGCGAACGGGUGAGUAACACGUGGGCAAUCUGCCCUGCACUCUGGGACAAGCCCUGGAAACGGGGUCUAAUACCGGAUAUGACUGUCCGCCGCAUGGUGGAUGGUGUAAAGCUCCGGCGGUGCAGGAUGAGCCCGCGGCCUAUCAGCUUGUUGGUGAGGUAGUGGCUCACCAAGGCGACGACGGGUAGCCGGCCUGAGAGGGCGACCGGCCACACUGGGACUGAGACACGGCCCAGACUCCUACGGGAGGCAGCAGUGGGGAAUAUUGCACAAUGGGCGAAAGCCUGAUGCAGCGACGCCGCGUGAGGGAUGACGGCCUUCGGGUUGUAAACCUCUUUCAGCAGGGAAGAAGCGAGAGUGACGGUACCUGCAGAAGAAGCGCCGGCUAACUACGUGCCAGCAGCCGCGGUAAUACGUAGGGCGCAAGCGUUGUCCGGAAUUAUUGGGCGUAAAGAGCUCGUAGGCGGCUUGUCACGUCGGUUGUGAAAGCCCGGGGCUUAACCCCGGGUCUGCAGUCGAUACGGGCAGGCUAGAGUUCGGUAGGGGAGAUCGGAAUUCCUGGUGUAGCGGUGAAAUGCGCAGAUAUCAGGAGGAACACCGGUGGCGAAGGCGGAUCUCUGGGCCGAUACUGACGCUGAGGAGCGAAAGCGUGGGGAGCGAACAGGAUUAGAUACCCUGGUAGUCCACGCCGUAAACGGUGGGCACUAUGUGUGGGCAACAUUCCACGUUGUCCGUGCCGCAGCUAACGCAUUAAGUG